This 474-nucleotide ribosomal RNA is filed under the name uncultured bacterium. Its description in RNAcentral is "bacterial SSU rRNA". It matches the Rfam family "Bacterial small subunit ribosomal RNA", at positions 28 to 507 of the family's 1533-position model. The record is from RNAcentral.
GACGAACGCUGGCGGCGUGCUUAACACAUGCAAGUCGAGCGGUAAGGCCCUUCGGGGUACACGAGCGGCGAACGGGUGAGUAACACGUGGGUGACCUGCCCUCCACUUCGGGAUAAGCCUGGGAAACUGGGUCUAAUACCGGAUAGGACCAUUGGAUGCAUGUCUGGUGGUGGAAAGUUUUUUCGGUGGGGGAUGGGCCCGCGGUCUAUCAGCUUGUUGGUGGGGUGAUGGCCUACCAAGGCGACGACGGAUAGCCGGCCUGAGAGGGUGAUCGGCCACACUGGGACUGAGACACGGCCCAGACUCCUACGGGAGGCAGCAGUGGGGAAUCUUGCGCAAUGGGCGGAAGCCUGACGCAGCAACGCCGCGUGAGGGAUGACGGCCUUCGGGUUGUAAACCUCUUUCGCGAUCGACGAAGGUCCGCCUUUUGGUGGGCUGACGGUAGGUCGAGAAGAAGCACCGGCCAACUACGUG